This 128-nucleotide small nucleolar RNA is filed under the name Sphenodon punctatus (tuatara). Its description in RNAcentral is "Small nucleolar RNA SNORA63 (ENSSPUG00000014189.1)". It matches the Rfam family "Small nucleolar RNA SNORA63". Rfam says of the family: E3 belongs to the H/ACA class of snoRNAs and is involved in the processing of eukaryotic pre-rRNA and has regions of complementarity to 18S rRNA. The record is from Rfam by way of RNAcentral. Lineage: Eukaryota; Metazoa; Chordata; Lepidosauria; Sphenodontia; Sphenodontidae.
AUGCAGGUUAAGUUACAAUGUAGCUGUGAAGUGCUGUAUUGUCGUUCCCCCUGCAAAAAGGAAAGUGUUUCCUACUAUCCCUGUCUGCUUGGAUCCCACAGCAGGCAGGGACGCUUGGCUUCAUACAG